Ribosomal RNA from Marinomonas sp. S3726, 1724 nucleotides. It matches the Rfam family "Bacterial large subunit ribosomal RNA", at positions 1223 to 2925 of the family's 2925-position model. The record is from Rfam. Lineage: Bacteria; Pseudomonadati; Pseudomonadota; Gammaproteobacteria; Oceanospirillales; Oceanospirillaceae.
GCAUGGUAGAGGAGCGUUCUGUAAGCCGUUGAAGGUCAAGCUGUAAGGCAGGCUGGAGGUAUCAGAAGUGCGAAUGUUGACAUGAGUAACGAUAAGGGGAGUGAAAAACUUCCCCGCCGGAAGACCAAGGUUUCCUGUCCCAUGUUAAUCAGGGCAGGGUGAGUCGGCCCCUAAGGCGAGGCAGAAAUGCGUAGUCGAUGGGAAACAGGUUAAUAUUCCUGUACUUGCAUAUAUUGCGAUGGAGAGACGGAGAAGGCUAGGCCAGCACAGCGAUGGUUGUCUGUGUUUAAGGCGGUAGGCUGGUGACUUAGGUAAAUCCGGGUUGCCUUAAGGCCGAGAACUGAUGACGAGCCCUCUUUUGGGUGAAGUGGUUGAUGCCAUGCUUCCAGGAAAAACUUCUAAGCUUCAGAUAUAUGGGAACCGUACCCCAAACCGACACAGGUGGUCAGGUAGAGAAUACCAAGGCGCUUGAGAGAACUCUGGUGAAGGAACUAGGCAAAAUGGUACCGUAACUUCGGGAGAAGGUACGCCGAUUUUGGUGAUGGGAUUUACUCCUUAAGCUGAGAUUGGUCGAAGAUACCAGGUGGCUGCGACUGUUUAUUAAAAACACAGCACUCUGCAAACACGAAAGUGGACGUAUAGGGUGUGACGCCUGCCCGGUGCUUGAAGGUUAAUUGAUGGGGUUAGCAUUAGCGAAGCUCUUGAUCGAAGCCCAAGUAAACGGCGGCCGUAACUAUAACGGUCCUAAGGUAGCGAAAUUCCUUGUCGGGUAAGUUCCGACCUGCACGAAUGGCGUAACGAUGGCCACACUGUCUCCACCAGAGACUCAGUGAAAUUGAAAUCGCAGUGAAGAUGCUGUGUAUCCGCGGCUAGACGGAAAGACCCCGUGAACCUUUACUAUAGCUUCACAGUGAACUUUGAACCUACUUGUGUAGGAUAGGUGGGAGGCUUUGAAACCAAGACGCUAGUUUUGGUGGAGCCACUCUUGAAAUACCACCCUGGUAUGUUUGAGGUUCUAACUCAGGUCCCUAAUCGGGAUCGAGGACACUGUGUGGUGGGUAGUUUGACUGGGGCGGUCUCCUCCCAAAGAGUAACGGAGGAGCACGAAGGUGUGCUCAGCAUGGUCGGAAAUCAUGCGAAGAGUGUAAAGGCAAAAGCGCGCUUAACUGCGAGACAGACACGUCGAGCAGGUACGAAAGUAGGUCUUAGUGAUCCGGUGGUUCUGUAUGGAAGGGCCAUCGCUCAACGGAUAAAAGGUACUCCGGGGAUAACAGGCUGAUACCGCCCAAGAGUUCACAUCGACGGCGGUGUUUGGCACCUCGAUGUCGGCUCAUCACAUCCUGGGGCUGAAGCCGGUCCCAAGGGUAUGGCUGUUCGCCAUUUAAAGUGGUACGCGAGCUGGGUUUAGAACGUCGUGAGACAGUUCGGUCCCUAUCUGCCGUGGACGUUUGAGAUUUGAGAGGAGCUGCUCCUAGUACGAGAGGACCGGAGUGGACGAACCUCUGGUGUUCCGGUUGUCACGCCAGUGGCAUUGCCGGGUAGCUACGUUCGGACGGGAUAACCGCUGAAAGCAUCUAAGCGGGAAGCCUCCCUCAAGAUGAGAUCUCACUGGAACUUUAAGUUCCCUAAAGAGCCGUUGAAGACUACGACGUUGAUAGGCUGGGUGUGUAAGCGUUGUGAGGCGUUGAGCUAACCAGUACUAAUUGCUCGUGAGGCUUGACCAU